Molecule: long non-coding RNA, 1323 nt
Organism: Bactrocera neohumeralis
Lineage: Eukaryota; Metazoa; Arthropoda; Insecta; Diptera; Tephritidae
Exons: 7
Source: RefSeq, a predicted model, not a curated record
UAUAACUUCAUAGUUCACAAAAUGAAAAUAUGUGCAGUGACAUAAAAGAAAAAAAUCGCGUAAAUGUUGUUUUCGUUGUUGACUCGGUUCGGUUCUCAGUGCUCGGUAAACGUCAGUGAUGCGAAGCUUGCAAUGCAUUGUUGUUCUUUUAUGUUAAAUCAAUGUUGCUUGUAAAUAAACCAGCAAACAUGCUGUGGCAUGUUAAAAUAGCAUGAUUUUUAUUGUUUUAAGUGAACUAAAAUGUUUGUGAUUAAAUUUUGAUACAUACACUAUGUAGUGUAUGUGUUUCAAAAGGUUUAUGAGUGCAAAUGAAGAAAGUGAGUGCUGUUAAAAGUAUAUUCGAUAAAAUUGCAUUAAAAUGUGACAACAUAAUAACAUUACUGUUGUUCCGUUUUCCAACGCACAACAAACACACAUUCAAUGUGGCACCUUCACAGCCACUUCUGCAGAGCUGCUCAUCUAAGGUUACACAACAAAUAGGAAGAAGAAUAACAAAUAAUAACGAACGCAGAAUUGCUGUUGUUGUUGGUGUUUCCUUAGCAGAGUUUUCAUGGAGACUAGUGGGUGGACAAAGCGUUGGAUAUAGCGGCAUAAAUCAAAUCAAAGCAGUAAACGGAGGAAGCUUCUACUUUACUAUAUAGUACAUAUAUUAAGGUAUUUUGAUAUCAGAAUGGGAGCUGAUUGUAAGUUAAUUUGAUGCCUUAAGACUACUAGUAUUAGUAUCAGUAGUAUCAAGAUAAUGACCAGCCCCUACUGUAUCAUUGUAUUUAUCAGAAUACUAAUAACAUUCUCCUGUCAACAAUUAUCUCUAUUUUCUUUUCUGCUUGAUGAAAGAGGACAACAAUAGAUCAACCAUAAGCUAAUCCAAGGCCAUAAAUAUUCCUACAAUGUUUUUUUGACAUUCAAAUCGGACAAUAUAUUACGACGUUCGUGUGGCUACGACACUUAUGUUUUUGAGAAGUGUUAAGUUUCAACGAUGCAGUAUUCGAAAAGUUGUUAGAAAAUAAAAGGAAAUUAAUAUUUUAUUCAAACAACAAACAGCAAAGAAUCAACUUAAGUGGGGAUACCUCUAAAACCGUCAGAAAAGAGAAAGCCUGAAUUAUUGCAGCAGUGGAGAACAUUUUAGUUUUUGCUCCGUCGGAGAUCUCAUAUAAUUCAAAAAAUAUUUAAUUUUCAAUUAAAAAAUUCGGUGUGUCAUCUUGAAAUAUGUAUGCUUUUUAGGCUGUCCAAGAGCUAUACUCCUGAAGAUAUUAUUAAGACUAUUGUGCUCCCAAUAAAAUUGCUUUUAUAUGUAUAUGUAUGUAUAUAAAAUUGAAUGUAUGU